GAAGGUUUAAAAGUGUAAAAUUGAAAUUGAGUAGCUUGUAGGAGUGAAUUUGGGUUUUAAAGUGUCAAGUUAAGUUAUAGCAGUGUUUUCAGAGUUUUCUCAAGGUUUGGAGGAUCCUAAAGGCCUCUAGAAGUUGGGGGUAAAGUGUUCAAAGUGAGAAAAUUGAGUUUUUAGCUUACUGAUAGCGCUGAGUGCCCAAACAAGUCGUUGAGCACCCAUUUUUCAGUGGCCAUGGCGCUAAGCGCCAACCCCUGGACGCCUGGGCGCCACUAGACACCAUUGCACCCGUUUCGGGGAGGGGGGGUUCAAGGUUCUAGAUGUCCGUUUUGGACGUUCUUUAGGUCGUUU
RNAcentral lists this long non-coding RNA (348 nucleotides) under Vigna radiata. RNAcentral's name for it is "long non-coding RNA (VRAD_LNC009552)". The record is from RNAcentral. Lineage: Eukaryota; Viridiplantae; Streptophyta; Magnoliopsida; Fabales; Fabaceae.